GACGGAGGAUGCGAGUGUUAUCCGGAAUCACUGGGCGUAAAGCGUCUGUAGGUGGUUUAAUAAGUCAACUGUUAAAUCUUGAGGCUCAACUUCAAAAUCGCAGCUGAAACUAUUAGACUAGAGUAUAGUAGAGGUAAAGGGAAUUUCCAGUGGAGCGGUGAAAUGCGUAGAUAUUGGAAAGAACACCGAUGGCGAAAGCACUUUACUGGGCUAUUACUAACACUCAGAGACGAAAGCUAGGGUAGCAAAUGGG
Molecule: ribosomal RNA, 253 nt
Filed under: uncultured bacterium
Lineage: Bacteria
Description: partial 16S ribosomal RNA
Rfam family: Bacterial small subunit ribosomal RNA
Source: RNAcentral